GGAGAUUUAGCUCAACGGUAUAAGCACCUGCCUUGCAAGCAGGCGGUCAUCAGUUCAAUCCCCA
Molecule: transfer RNA, 64 nt
Filed under: Cavia porcellus (domestic guinea pig)
Lineage: Eukaryota; Metazoa; Chordata; Mammalia; Rodentia; Caviidae
Rfam family: tRNA
About the family: Transfer RNA (tRNA) molecules are approximately 80 nucleotides in length. Their secondary structure includes four short double-helical elements and three loops (D, anti-codon, and T loops).
Source: Rfam by way of RNAcentral